UGGGGAAUUUUGGACAAUGGGCGAAAGCCUGAUCCAGCAAUGCCGCGUGUGUGAAGAAGGCCUUCGGGUUGUAAAGCACUUUUGUCCGGAAAGAAAUCCUUGGCUCUAAUACAGUCGGGGGAUGACGGUACCGGAAGAAUAAGCACCGGCUAACUACGUGCCAGCAGCCGCGGUAAUACGUAGGGUGCAAGCGUUAAUCGGAAUUACUGGGCGUAAAGCGUGCGCAGGCGGUUUGCUAAGACCGAUGUGAAAAUCCCCGGGCUCAACCUGGGAACUGCAUUGGUGACUGGCAGGCUAGAGUAUGGCAGAGGGGGGUAGAAUUCCACGUGUAGCAGUGAAAUGCGUAGAGAUGUGGAGGAAUACCGAUGGCGAAGGCAGCCCCCUGGGCCAAUACUGACGCUCAUGCACGAAAGCGUGGGGAGCAAACAGGAUUAGAUACCCUGGUAGUCCACGCCCUAAAACGAUGUCAACUAGUUGUUGGGGAUUCAUUUCCUUAGUAACGUAGCUAACGCGUGAAGUUGACCGCCUGGGGAGUACGGUCGCAGGAUUAAAACUCAAAUGAAUUGACGGGGUCAUAGCUGUUUCCU
RNAcentral lists this ribosomal RNA (587 nucleotides) under uncultured bacterium. RNAcentral describes it as "partial 16S ribosomal RNA". It matches the Rfam family "Bacterial small subunit ribosomal RNA", at positions 355 to 1375 of the family's 1533-position model. The record is from RNAcentral.